GAUGAACGCUGGCGGCGUGCCUAAUACAUGCAAGUCGAGCGAACAGAUAAGGAGCUUGCUCUUUUGACGUUAGCGGCGGACGGGUGAGUAACACGUGGGUAACCUACCUAUAAGACUGGAAUAACUCCGGGAAACCGGGGCUAAUGCCGGAUAACAUUUAGAACCGCAUGGUUCUAAAGUGAAAGAUGGUUUUGCUAUCACUUAUAGAUGGACCCGCGCCGUAUUAGCUAGUUGGUAGGGUAACGGCUUACCAAGGCAACGAUACGUAGCCGACCUGAGAGGGUGAUCGGCCACACUGGAACUGAGACACGGUCCAGACUCCUACGGGAGGCAGCAGUAGGGAAUCUUCCGCAAUGGGCGAAAGCCUGACGGAGCAACGCCGCGUGAGUGAUGAAGGUCUUCGGAUCGUAAAACUCUGUUAUUAGGGAAGAACAAAUGUGUAAGUAACUGUGCACGUCUUGACGGUACCUAAUCAGAAAGCCACGGCUAACUACGUG
RNAcentral lists this ribosomal RNA (497 nucleotides) under uncultured bacterium. RNAcentral describes it as "partial 16S ribosomal RNA". It matches the Rfam family "Bacterial small subunit ribosomal RNA", at positions 28 to 507 of the family's 1533-position model. The record is from RNAcentral.